GAGUCUUUGACUCCAAAGCUGUGUGCUGUUGGAGGCUCCCCCUGACUCACCUCGAUCCAUUUCUGCGCCUCCAGGCAGGCUGGCUCGGGAUGGCUCGGCUCGGGACCGGCCAUCAGUGGGGGUGCGUUGGGAAUUCGCUGAUGUUGUGAAGUCUCUCCCGUUUUCUUCCCCGGUGUCCUCCACGCUCCACGCGCAGUCUAUUCAGUCACGUAGCCCCCUCGCGCUCCAACUGCGUCGCCCUCAAAAAGAAGAUGAUGCAGAAGAGGACGCCGCUUCUGGCGACGCUGCAAUACGAACCAGGUGCUAAAAAUAUCGAUUCCUUGCCGUGGGAGGCUGACUCCUCUCUGCUGCUGCUGCUACCGCCGCCGCGCGUCAGGAGAAGGCGUGAACGCGCAGGCAGGAAUCUCUGUGGGGGGGGUCGAGAGAAGCAGGAAAGACAGAGGAGAGAGAGGGGAUGGAGGGCGCCGCAGAAGAUGUCCCGCUAUAUUACAGUUCAGAUAGUUCAUCUAGUGGCGGAUGCUUGGUGUGUUUCAUUUACUUUGAAUCGUUAUUUAAAUUAAAAA
This is a long non-coding RNA of Poecilia latipinna (sailfin molly), 563 nucleotides long. RefSeq lists it as uncharacterized. The transcript is spliced from 3 exons. Lineage: Eukaryota; Metazoa; Chordata; Actinopteri; Cyprinodontiformes; Poeciliidae. The record is from RefSeq and is a predicted model, not a curated record.